GAUGAACGCUGGCUACAGGCUUAACACAUGCAAGUCGAGGGGAAACGACGGGGAAGCUUGCUUCCCCGGGCGUCGACCGGCGCACGGGUGAGUAACGCGUAUCCAACCUGCCUCUGACUGAGGGAUAGCCCGUCGAAAGUCGGCCUAAUACCUCAUGGUAUCGUCUGCGGGCAUCCAACGACGAUUAAAGAUUUCAUCGGUCAGGGAUGGGGAUGCGUCUGAUUAGCUUGUUGGCGGGGUAACGGCCCACCAAGGCUACGAUCAGUAGGGGUUCUGAGAGGAAGGUCCCCCACAUUGGAACUGAGACACGGUCCAAACUCCUACGGGAGGCAGCAGUGAGGAAUAUUGGUCAAUGGGCGAGAGCCUGAACCAGCCAAGUAGCGUGCAGGAAGACGGCCCUAUGGGUUGUAAACUGCUUUUAUGCGGGGAUAAAGUGAGGGACGUGUCCCUCAUUGCAGGUACCGCAUGAAUAAGGACCGGCUAAUUCCGUG
This 491-nucleotide ribosomal RNA is filed under the name uncultured bacterium. RNAcentral describes it as "partial 16S ribosomal RNA". It matches the Rfam family "Bacterial small subunit ribosomal RNA", at positions 28 to 507 of the family's 1533-position model. The record is from RNAcentral.